UAAAGGAAGGAAGAACUGUCUCUGAGUAUACGAUGUGGAAUAUUUUACAGUGGGAAGGUGCAUUAUGGGAAUUGGAAGUUCCUGGAGUCAGUGGUGACAGAGGAGAAGCCCGAAAGCAUGACACUCAUUUAACCAUUCAGGAUUUUUGGGGGCUUCCAUCUGUUAGCACUUCCUCAAAUAUUGUCACGAGUGACCCAGGCAGGGAGACGAGGAGGCGGACACAAAUGCAGGGUCAUGCUAGUGGUCCAGAGGGAGGCUAAUCCCAAUGAUUUCCCAGCUUGGCAAGAUCUGUGUGGGUCAAGACGUGACCGGUCCUGG
This 318-nucleotide long non-coding RNA is filed under the name Astyanax mexicanus (Mexican tetra). Its description in RNAcentral is "lncRNA (ENSAMXG00005025473.1)". Lineage: Eukaryota; Metazoa; Chordata; Actinopteri; Characiformes; Acestrorhamphidae. The record is from RNAcentral.